CCCCAAAGUGAAGUGCCGCCCAAAUAUCCAUUGGAAUUUGCCCUAAUUUACACACUUCAGAGAAUAGGCGAAUCGAUCUGCACACCAUGAAGCCGCCGGCGAUUCGAUCCGCAGACUGUGAAUCAGCGUCGCUUUUCUUCUGGUUCAGGGGGACAAAUUUAAUUUUCUGAAGCAUAAAAGAGAAAGAAGUUCCUCAUUGUUUCACAACAGAUGGUGAUUAAAUAUUUGUUUUAUUCCAUUAAUGAACUCAUUGUUUUAUUACAAACCAGAUAAAUACAAAUAAUUGUCUUUCAAGUUUUAAAGUCCCUAAGGCACGAGUCCAUCCUAUGUGUAGCAUGCAUCAACAAUCAUCACAUAGUAGCACCUGAAACAUAUGUGAAAAUAGUCGAACUUUUUCCUCUAAAGUUCCUCUAAAUAUAUCUACGAUUGGAAUUUUGGCUCCAUAACCCCAAAGUGAAGUGCCGCCCAAAUAUCCAUUGGAAUUUGCCCUAAUUUACACACUUCAGAGAAUAGGCGAAUCGAUCUGCACACCAUGAAGCCGCCGGCGAUUCGAUCCGCAGACUGUGAAUCAGCGUCGCUUUUCUUCUGGUUCAGGGGGACAAAUUUAAUUUUCUGAAGCAUAAAAGAGAAAGAAGGUGUUAGCUUCAAGAACCAUGUCAUACAGGCCUUUGAUUCCUUCUUAUAUUCAGAUAUGUAAAACUAGCAGAGGAAAGAGCUAAAGAAUGAUAAAAUGCAAGCCUAAGGAUAAUGAUCAACUUCCUGAAGUUUUGUGAGUUGCACUGCAAGUAUAUACCGACUUUCUCAUGAGUGUUUUGGAAAUACUGAAUGCAAUACUGAUAAACGUGUUGUCAAGGAACCGAAAGAAUAAUAUUUAAGGAACAAAUGAAGGGCUAUCUUCAAAAGAUGGAAGUGCUUCCGUGGAUUAAUUUGUGGCUGUGACAAACAAAGAGCAUACGGACACCGUUGACUUUAUGGUAGAGGCGUUAUUAACAAAUCGAUAAAAAAAGUGGAUGGUUGUGAUAUACCUACCAUACAUGAUUCCAAGGGACUUAUGGAAUCACUCAAAGCUAGUGUCGAAGUUAAAACAAUUAUUUGCAUGAAAUGCGAAAAGAUAUUAAAGAGGAUCGUGAAAGGAAAAAACGCCGAGCAUGAAAUGCGAAAAGAUAUUAAAGAGGAUCGUGAAAGGAAAAAACGCCAAGUUAGAAGCCACAUGGAAAUAUAAUUGACAACCCAUAAGAAAACACUCAAGCAACUACCUUUUAGAGGUGGAGAGUUUUGAACAUGUGUAGAAGGUUUUUGUUACUCUUAAUUAAUUGUAAUUGACAACUUUGUGUUGAAUACAUUAUUUUGAGUUUGAACAUAUAUGUUAAAGUACAUAAAGAUUCUU
This 1387-nucleotide long non-coding RNA is filed under the name Helianthus annuus (common sunflower). RNAcentral describes it as "hypothetical non coding rna". The record is from RNAcentral. Lineage: Eukaryota; Viridiplantae; Streptophyta; Magnoliopsida; Asterales; Asteraceae.